Molecule: non-coding RNA, 67 nt
Organism: Podarcis lilfordi (Lilford's wall lizard)
Lineage: Eukaryota; Metazoa; Chordata; Lepidosauria; Squamata; Lacertidae
Source: the annotation of a GenBank genome assembly
GCCAUGACUCAGUGGUAGAGCAUCUGCUUUGCAGAUUUUUUUGCAGGUUCAAUCCCUGGCAUCUCCA